GGUUUAAUUCGAAGCAACGCGAAGAACCUUACCAGGUCUUGACAUCCUCUGAUACCCCUAGAGAUAGGGCAUUCCCUUCGGGGACAGAGUGACAGGUGGUGCAUGGUUGUCGUCAGCUCGUGUCGUGAGAUGUUGGGUUAAGUCCCGCAACGAGCGCAACCCUUGAUCUUAGUUGCCAGCAUUCAGUUGGGCACUCUAAGGUGACUGCCGGUGACAAGCCGGAGGAAGGUGGGGAUGACGUCAAAUCAUCAUGCCCCUUAUGACCUGGGCUACACACGUGCUACAAUGGAUGGUACAAAGGGCCGCGAAACCGCGAGGUCAAGCAAAUCCCAUAAAACCAUUCUCAGUUCGGAUUGUAGGCUGCAACUCGCCUACAUGAAGCCGGAAUCGCUAGUAAUCGUGGAUCAGCAUGCCACGGUGAAUACGUUCCCGGGUCUUGUACACACCGCCCGUCACACCACGAGAGUUUGUAACACCCGAAGUCGGUGAGGUAACCUUUUAGGAGCCAGCCGCCGAAGGUGGGACGAAUGAUUGGGGUGAAGUCGUAACAAGGUAACCGU
This 560-nucleotide ribosomal RNA is filed under the name uncultured bacterium. RNAcentral describes it as "bacterial SSU rRNA". It matches the Rfam family "Bacterial small subunit ribosomal RNA", at positions 943 to 1503 of the family's 1533-position model. The record is from RNAcentral.